GUGGGGAAUAUUGGACAAUGGGCGAAAGCCUGAUCCAGCCAUGCCGCGUGUGUGAAGAAGGUCUUCGGAUUGUAAAGCACUUUAAGUUGGGAGGAAGGGCAGUAAGUUAAUACCUUGCUGUUUUGACGUUACCGACAGAAUAAGCACCGGCUAACUUCGUGCCAGCAGCCGCGGUAAUACGAAGGGUGCAAGCGUUAAUCGGAAUUACUGGGCGUAAAGCGCGCGUAGGUGGUUUUGUAAGUUGGAGGUGAAAUCCCCGGGCUCAACCUGGGAACGGCCUCCAAAACUACUGAGCUAGAGUACGGUAGAGGGUAGUGGAAUUUCCUGUGUAGCGGUGAAAUGCGUAGAUAUAGGAAGGAACACCAGUGGCGAAGGCGACUACCUGAACUGAUACUGACACUGAGGUGCGAAAGCGUGGGGAGCAAACAGGAUUAGAAACCCUGGUAGUCC
RNAcentral lists this ribosomal RNA (450 nucleotides) under uncultured bacterium. Its description in RNAcentral is "partial 16S ribosomal RNA". It matches the Rfam family "Bacterial small subunit ribosomal RNA", at positions 354 to 796 of the family's 1533-position model. The record is from RNAcentral.